UGGGGAAUAUUGGGCAAUGGGCGAAAGCCUUACCCAGCAACGCCGCGUGAGGGAAGAAGGUUUUCGGAUUGUAAACCUCUGUCCUGGGGGACGAAGGAAGUGACGGUACCCCGGGAGGAAGCCCCGGCUAACUACGUGCCAGCAGCCGCGGUAAUACGUAGGGGGCGAGCGUUGUCCGGAAUUAUUGGGCGUAAAGGGCGCGUAGACGGCCGAGUAAGUUAUAGGUGAAAGCCCAUCUUUCAAGGAUGGAAUUGCCUGUAAUACUGCUUGGCUUGAGUGCAGGAGGGGGAAGCGGAAUUCCUAGUGUAGCGGUGAAAUGCGUAGAUAUUAGGAGGAACACCAGUGGCGAAGGCGGCUUUCUGGACUGUAACUGACGUUGAGGCGCGAAAGCGUGGGGAGCAAACAGGAUUAGAUACC
Molecule: ribosomal RNA, 417 nt
Filed under: uncultured bacterium
Lineage: Bacteria
Description: bacterial SSU rRNA
Rfam family: Bacterial small subunit ribosomal RNA
Source: RNAcentral